Molecule: ribosomal RNA, 868 nt
Filed under: Lasionectria mantuana
Lineage: Eukaryota; Fungi; Ascomycota; Sordariomycetes; Hypocreales; Nectriaceae
Description: eukaryotic LSU rRNA
Rfam family: Eukaryotic large subunit ribosomal RNA
Source: RNAcentral
CGGAGGAAAAGAAACCAACAGGGAUUGCCUCAGUAACGGCGAGUGAAGCGGCAACAGCUCAAAUUUGAAAUCUGGCUCUCGGGCCCGAGUUGUAAUUUGCAGAGGAUGUUUCUGGCGAGGUGCCUUCCGAGUUCCCUGGAACGGGACGCCAUAGAGGGUGAGAGCCCCGUCCGGUUGGUCGCUAAGCCUCUGUGAAACUCCUUCGACGAGUCGAGUAGUUUGGGAAUGCUGCUCUAAAUGGGAGGUAUACGUCUUCUAAAGCUAAAUACCGGCCAGAGACCGAUAGCGCACAAGUAGAGUGAUCGAAAGAUGAAAAGCACUUUGAAAAGAGGGUUAAAUAGUACGUGAAAUUGUUGAAAGGGAAGCGUUUAUGACCAGACUUGGGCCGGUUGAUCAUCCAUCGUUCUCGGUGGUGCACUCUGCCGGCUCAGGCCAGCAUCAGUUUGGCUUGGGGGAUAAAGGUUUCGGGAAUGUGGCUCCCUCGGGAGUGUUAUAGCCCGUUGCGCAAUACCCUGGGCUAGACUGAGGUUCGCGCUCCGCAAGGAUGCUGGCGUAAUGGUCAUCAGCGACCCGUCUUGAAACACGGACCAAGGAGUCGUCUUCGUAUGCGAGUGUUCGGGUGUCAAACCCCUACGCGUAAUGAAAGUGAACGUAGGAGAGAGCUUCGGCGCAUCUCCGACCGAUCCUGAUGUUCUCGGAUGGAUUUGAGUAAGAGCAUACGGGGCCGGACCCGAAAGAAGGUGAACUAUGCCUGUAUAGGGUGAAGCCAGAGGAAACUCUGGUGGAGGCUCGCAGCGGUUCUGACGUGCAAAUCGAUCGUCAAAUAUGGGCAUGGGGGCGAAAGACUAAUCGAACCUUCUAGUAGCUG